RNAcentral lists this ribosomal RNA (491 nucleotides) under uncultured bacterium. RNAcentral describes it as "partial 16S ribosomal RNA". It matches the Rfam family "Bacterial small subunit ribosomal RNA", at positions 28 to 507 of the family's 1533-position model. The record is from RNAcentral.
GAUGAACGCUAGCUACAGGCUUAACACAUGCAAGUCGAGGGGAAACGACAUCGAAAGCUUGCUUUGAUGGGCGUCGACCGGCGCACGGGUGAGUAACGCGUAUCCAACCUGCCCAUCACUUGGGAAUAACCUUGCGAAAGUAAGACUAAUACCCAAUGAUAUCCCACGAAGGCAUCGGAAUGGGAUUAAAGAUUUAUCGGUGAUGGAUGGGGAUGCGUCUGAUUAGCUUGUUGGCGGGGUAACGGCCCACCAAGGCAACGAUCAGUAGGGGUUCUGAGAGGAAGGUCCCCCACAUUGGAACUGAGACACGGUCCAAACUCCUACGGGAGGCAGCAGUGAGGAAUAUUGGUCAAUGGGCGAGAGCCUGAACCAGCCAAGUAGCGUGCAGGAAGACGGCCCUAUGGGUUGUAAACUGCUUUUAUAAGGGAAUAAAGUGGGUCACGUGUGACUUUUUGCAUGUACCUUAUGAAUAAGGACCGGCUAAUUCCGUG